AAAUCUAUCUUUUUAUUUUAAAAAUAAUACAAAUUUAUUUAUUUAAAAAAAAUUAAAUAUUUACUUUAGUAUAAUUAUUUUUAUAAUUUUUUAUUAUUUUAAUCAAAAUAUUAAUUUUAAAUGAAAAUAUUGGAUGUUUAUUGUAGUGUUUUAGAGGUUUGGAUAGAAUUGGUUACAGUAUUAGUGACUGGUCGACACAUCUGAAGAGUGUCGGACUGAGUCGGUGUCAAUUAUGCACGAAAUGGAUGCAGAAAUAGACUCGGCGCACUCAAAUAAGCAAAACUGAAGUUUUGCCAGAUUCGGACGCCCAGAACAGGGUUUGGAUCGCCCAGAACUUGAGUGCAGUACUGAACAGAACUGGAAGCCAAUUCGGAUCCUAGUUU
This 383-nucleotide long non-coding RNA is filed under the name Ananas comosus (pineapple). RNAcentral describes it as "long non-coding RNA (ACOM_LNC010491)". Lineage: Eukaryota; Viridiplantae; Streptophyta; Magnoliopsida; Poales; Bromeliaceae. The record is from RNAcentral.